RNAcentral lists this long non-coding RNA (693 nucleotides) under Rattus norvegicus (Norway rat). RNAcentral describes it as "long non-coding RNA NONRATT029969". The record is from RNAcentral. Lineage: Eukaryota; Metazoa; Chordata; Mammalia; Rodentia; Muridae.
GAGCGGCGGCACUGUGUGGAGAACAGGUACAGAGAGGAUCCAGAGGUCCUUCUGCAAUCACACAGCAGGACGGUGAAGAGGGGGCUGACUGGAGCCCUGGGACCAGACAAGAAGGGGAGGAGCUUAGAUUUCUGCUUCUGCGAAAGAAGUAUUACAGCCCUAGCCUGGCAGUGGUGGGUGGGGUAAGAGCAGAGUCUCUUGAAGGUAAAUCUUCAGACUGUGCCUGUGACAGGACGGAGGGAGGAGGCACCGCAUUUAUUUCCAGAGAAGCAAUGAGCCCUGCAGAAGGAAUAUGGUGUGAGAGCCAUUUAAGGGUGGAGACUUGAAUAGAAGAACCUGGAGGUGGGUGGCUUCCUCCUACAGUUGAUUUAAAAUCCAGAAAGCUUAGCUGACUGCAGGGAAGGGAAUCCCAGAGAAUCCUUCUCACUGAAAAAGGCGGUUUUCAAGCUCUACACAAUAGAAUUUAGUCUUUGAAAACUAUGUUUGACAGCCGAGUUGUCUGGAAAAUUCAGGGAAGAAAUGCCUUCCACUGAUGGGUACCAGUAAACUUCACCUGCACUGAGGCUUAGGGGAGGCACUUUUUUGACAAUGACCCCCAAAGUGUCCUCAGACAACCAUAAUCCCUCUGUGAGACUCCACAGAAUCUAAUUUAACCACCCACACAUGUGGCCAUUUCCUGAAGCUUCCUCCUCC